AUAUCAAAUCACUUUUCGUUAUCGGAAAUAUAACCAAAAGAGAUCAACUUGGAAAUACAGGAUGUGGCUUCAGUUCAUGAUAAUGUGUAUGCAGUAUGUGCCGGGUACUCCGUCCAUCUACGUCCUAACCUGGCUUCAACAUUUGGUGCGAUGGAAUUGUAAUAAUAAUUAUCCGAAUAUCGUCGAACCAGUGCAGCGUGAAAAUUAAUCUUUCGAAGUAAUAACGUUCAUCUAUCAUUCUAUCGCUACUAAUGAUAAUUAUUCAACUUCGACUGUGCAGCACGAAAAUACAAUGGCCCAGGACUGUCGAAUUCAAUACCGGACAUUUUAUUUAUGACAACAUGAUUUGUACGCGAGUUAAGAGUUACGAGGUGGAUCUUUGCCGCCUAUUGAAGACUGCAGCGACAAGACGUCCAUAAAAU
RNAcentral lists this unclassified non-coding RNA (422 nucleotides) under Bombus terrestris (buff-tailed bumblebee). RNAcentral describes it as "misc RNA ENSBTSG00005034969.1". The record is from RNAcentral. Lineage: Eukaryota; Metazoa; Arthropoda; Insecta; Hymenoptera; Apidae.